GCAGUAGGGAAUCUUCCGCAAUGGACGCAAGUCUGACGGAGCAACGCCGCGUGAGUGAAGAAGGUUUUCGGAUCGUAAAACUCUGUUGUCGGAGAAGAACAAGUGGGCGAGUAACUGCGCCCGCCUUGACGGUAUCCGACCAGAAAGCCACGGCUAACUACGUGCCAGCAGCCGCGGUAAUACGUAGGUGGCAAGCGUUGUCCGGAUUUAUUGGGCGUAAAGCGAGCGCAGGCGGUCCCUUAAGUCUGAUGUGAAAGCCCACGGCUCAACCGUGGAGGGUCAUUGGAAACUGGGGGGCUUGAGUGCAGGAGAGGAGAGUGGAAUUCCAUGUGUAGCGGUGAAAUGCGUAGAUAUAUGGAGGAACACCAGUGGCGAAGGCGACUCUCUGGCCUGUAACUGACGCUGAGGCUCGAAAGCGUGGGGAGCG
This 427-nucleotide ribosomal RNA is filed under the name uncultured Trichococcus sp. RNAcentral's name for it is "bacterial SSU rRNA". It matches the Rfam family "Bacterial small subunit ribosomal RNA", at positions 351 to 770 of the family's 1533-position model. Lineage: Bacteria; Bacillati; Bacillota; Bacilli; Lactobacillales; Carnobacteriaceae. The record is from RNAcentral.